RNAcentral lists this ribosomal RNA (460 nucleotides) under uncultured bacterium. RNAcentral's name for it is "SSU rRNA". It matches the Rfam family "Bacterial small subunit ribosomal RNA", at positions 26 to 518 of the family's 1533-position model. The record is from RNAcentral.
AGAAUCAACGCUGGCGGCGUGCCUAACACAUGCAAGUCGCACGAGAAAGUAGACUUCGGUCUGCGAGUAAAGUGGCGCACGGGUGAGUAACACGUGAAUAAUCUACCUCCGAGUGGGGAAUAACUUCGGGAAACCGAGGCUAAUACCGCAUAACACUUACGAGUCAAAGCAGCAAUGCGCUUGGAGAGGAGUUCGCGGCAGAUUAGUUAGUUGGCGGGGUAAUGGCCCACCAAGACGAUGAUCUGUAUCCGGCCUGAGAGGGCGCACGGACACACUGGAACUGAAACACGGUCCAGACUCCUACGGAGGCAGCAGUGGGGAAUUUUGCGCAAUGGGGGAAACCCUGACGCAGCAACGCCGCGUGGAGGAAGAAAUAUCUUGGUAUGUAAACUCCUUUCGAUCGGGACGAUAAUGACGGUACCGAGAGAAGAGCCCCGGCUAACUUCGUGCCAGCAGCCGC